AGUUUAGGCUAAAGCUGGGACAGACCCAGUUGGACACAUCAUGGACUCCUGGAAACAGUGAAAUUUGAUCUGUCUAUCUCAGCUGUCUUUGGAGGACUCUGAAGAUGUGUGGAUAUUCGUGGUGUUGGUGUCGGGUUUCCUGCUCUUUGGCCUUGGAGGCUACCCGGCUUACCGGAAAAUUAACAAGCUGUCGAGGAAUAUUGGCCUGAUCCCAGAGCGCAGAGAUGGUUUGCACCGCGCUGUGAAUUCACAGACUCACAUAAUUGUCUAGAUGAAUCGUAAGCUUGGGACUUUGGCCGAGAUUCAUUCUUUGGCACAAAAGAUGGAUGGCAUCAAGGAGAGAGUGGACGAAUCAGCACGGAUAGAUAAUGUCCAUUAUUGGGAUUUUGAGAGGUUGACGACCAACAAACUGUGAGACAGAGAGGAAAUUAUCUCUGUCUGGCCCCAAAACAAUUUCUAAUCGGAAUCUGGCGUCUUUGAGCCUGCAAGGCUCCAACGAAAACUCCCCCCUCAGAAGAUAUGUGGAAUGUGCCACCGCUAUGGCAACUCAACUCUGUCUCCUUUCCCAGCCUGGGUGGGACUGCGGGAAGGCCGCUGAAACGUUCCAGGGUCACUGCAACCCUCCAACCCUCAACGCCCCCCCCCCAUCCACACUGAGGUGACAUGCGCUGCUUAUCGUGGCUGCAGGAACUGAAGUGGGGAUAGUCCCAACCCACCAUCCCACCUAGUGGACACUUAUGUUGUGCUGUCUGAAGUCUGUUGCAUAUCUGUCUGAGGUGUUUUUUUGCAGAGCAAAGCUGCCCUCCCGGUGGAGGGUAACUCUGAAAUGCCUUUUUUCCCUCCACCUGAACCAAUCCUCAUGUAACCCUCUUAUCUCUAUUAAGAGCAUCAUAAGAAGAAUACAGAAAUAAAGGCGUUUUCCAUCAAUGACAUACAUUUGUUACGCUUUUCUGCCGAGCGCUGUGACGUGAGGUCAACCCGAACGUCCAUUAGAAGACACCCGGAGGGCAGGACUAUUUACGAUCGCAGGAGUUCCACAUCUGAGAGACAAAGAGAGGAGACGUCAGCCGGGCUGCAAAGGCCUCAAAGAGCUAACAAGCCGUCACUCAGCGUGUCCCCCUGUCUUCGGCAGCGCUGUCCCUUUCAAGUGCCUUUUUCACCGUUCAGUGUAUUUGGAUUGUUUUAUGUCUGGCGAUCAAACAUGGCUGAUGGCAUCAAACAGGUAACGAGGGGUCGGUUCCUCCCAGAUUGAUUCUUUAUGUUGUUGACACAGUUUUUGUCAAUUUGAGGCUGGGCUUGUUUGUGCUGAAGGGGAAUUUUAAAUCUUAAUCAAAACUCUUGAGUCCUGGUGAAAAGAAAAUCUUUAAGGCUUGUAAUUAAAACCUGCUGGAUGUGGCUGGACUGCAGAUGAGAAACCUGGGUUCAUUUAUUUUAUUUAUCAGAAAACAGAGAUGGAAAAGACUCGUUUUCUUUUUUUUAACAACUCAACUGUCGUGGAAGCUCUAAUUGAAUUUUAUGAUGAAUUUUGUUAUUGAUUAGAAUCCCUUGGCGAGCAUUUUAAAGGGACUUUUCGGACUUUUGAAUUUUUAUGCUCGCGAUUGCCCCCUCAGGCCAAAAGCGUCACGGCAGCUUCAAUAGUAGGCCGUGCACGAGGUGCGCAUGCUGUACGUGCACACUCCUUAACGAAAACAACAGCUGAGAUAGUCGUGUGUGUGUGUGUGUGUGUGUGUGUGUGUGGGUGUGUGUGUGUGUG
This 1753-nucleotide long non-coding RNA is filed under the name Nothobranchius furzeri (turquoise killifish). Its description in RNAcentral is "lncRNA (ENSNFUG00015010110.1)". The stretch from base 873 to 962 matches the Rfam family "Small nucleolar RNA R24". The record is from RNAcentral. Lineage: Eukaryota; Metazoa; Chordata; Actinopteri; Cyprinodontiformes; Nothobranchiidae.